GAUAAACGCUGGCGGCGUGCCUAAUACUUGCAAGUCGAGCGAACAGACGAGGAGCUUGCUCCUCUGAUGUUAGCGGCGGACGGGUGAGUAACACGUGGAUAACCUACCUAUAAGACUGGGAUAACUUCGGGAAACCGGAGCUAAUACCGGAUAACAUGUUGAACCGCAUGGUUCAACCGCGCAAGACGGUCUUGCUGUCACUUAUAGAUGGAUCCGCGCCGCAUUAGCUAGUUGGUAAGGUAACGGCUUACCAAGGCAACGAUGCGUAGCCGACCUGAGAGGGUGAUCGGCCACACUGGAACUGAGACACGGUCCAGACUCCUACGGGAGGCAGCAGUAGGGAAUCUUCCGCAAUGGGCGAAAGCCUGACGGAGCAACGCCGCGUGAGUGAAGAAGGUCUUCGGAUCGUAAAACUCUGUUAUUAGGGAAGAACAAAUGUGUAAGUAACUAUGCACGUCUUGACGGUACCUAAUCAGAAAGCCACGGCUAACUACGUG
RNAcentral lists this ribosomal RNA (497 nucleotides) under uncultured bacterium. RNAcentral's name for it is "partial 16S ribosomal RNA". It matches the Rfam family "Bacterial small subunit ribosomal RNA", at positions 28 to 507 of the family's 1533-position model. The record is from RNAcentral.